RNAcentral lists this ribosomal RNA (252 nucleotides) under uncultured bacterium. Its description in RNAcentral is "partial 16S ribosomal RNA". It matches the Rfam family "Bacterial small subunit ribosomal RNA", at positions 524 to 776 of the family's 1533-position model. The record is from RNAcentral.
UACGUAGGGGUCUAGCGUUGUCCGGAAUCACUGGGCGUAAAGGGCGCGUAGGUGGUUUGAUAAGGGUGUGGUGAAAGUCCGGAGCUCAACUCCGGAUCUGCCGUGCCGACUGUCAAACUCGAGGGCUGUAGAGGCAGACGGAAUUCCGGGUGUAGCGGUGGAAUGCGUAGAGAUCCGGAGGAAGACCGGUGGCGAAGGCGGUCUGCUGGGCAGUUCUGACACUGAGGCGCGACAGCGUGGGGAGCAACAGGG